Long non-coding RNA from Schistocerca nitens (vagrant locust), 2763 nucleotides. RefSeq lists it as uncharacterized. The transcript has 3 exons. Lineage: Eukaryota; Metazoa; Arthropoda; Insecta; Orthoptera; Acrididae. The record is from RefSeq and is a predicted model, not a curated record.
AGAUAUGUAAUCAGGAAGCGCAGUCGGAAAGGAAGUGCUAUGUGAUAAUGACAAGCAAUGAAUCAGCUAUGAAACGUGAUACAGAGCAGUGCGAACCUCGAGUGACAGUCGACGCAGGGCAUCCACGCUUUGUUACUCGAGCUCCGCAGGAUUUUGCUAACUUUUGCCCGCAAUGUAACGCAAGAUUUGGCCGGUCGGUUGAUUCUGUACGUCAACAUUUCAGAAAUCAGCCACACUCAAAAUUUGAUUCUUGCGUAUAUUGUGGUACGGCAGUUUUCAUGUACUUAAGUGAUGGGAAACGUACUGUUUUCCAUGAAUGUCGGUCAUGUGCGAGCCCAAAUUGUGAACAAAUUCGGAACCAGAACUGCGAUCAAAAUCGUUAACCGGCAAACUGUUAAAAGCGUCGGGAAGGGGGGUUGUGCAGUGAUUCUAAUCUAUUAAAAGGGGGGUUGUGCAGUGAUUCUAAUCUAUUAAAGACUGGACUGCAGUGGUACUAGCGCAUUAAUAAUGUUGCGCUUCAUUUGUCUGUAAUGGCUUUUUGUCAACGAUUCCGGUGGGUACCAUCAGAGGGUUAAGGGGCGAAACAAUGAGGUCAUCAGUUCCUUGAGCCAGGGAUGGUUUGCGUUACUGCCUUACAGUUUUCUGGGAAGCACAAGCUGUCCAAAUUCCCAGCUUUGGGGUUUGCUCAUUUCCUGUGAAGUUUUUGUACUCAGGCUCACCAGCAAUGGUUGCCUCUGCUGGGAUGACUGUGCCACUCUCCUCAGCACUGGGGCUGUCUGCCAGUGCUCAGUCUCACAAACAAGUUCACCUCACCUCAUACUGAUUACAGAUGGCCGAAUAACACACUUAUAUGCGGAUUAUAUUACGUGUCCAUCUGGAAUUAAUGAUGUCCAUGAAGUAUCUCUUCUGAUGAUGAAAGUACCUGAGAGCAGUAAGGCCAAGACACUGAAGGUAGUACUGAUGCCAGAGCUGAGAAAGAAUUUGUGAAGAAGUGUAUGGAUGAGGCAGGUGCAUAGGUUAGAGCAAUCGAAGGGUCUCUCAGUGGUGAGAAAAGCACUGUAAUAUGGCAUCCGGCAUUGAAGAGUUCAUAAAUCGUUUAGGGAAAACUAAUUUCUUGGUGUCUGUAAAGUGUAUAUUAUGUCAUAAAAUUGUUCAUAAAGAAAUCCAAAUUUGUUCUACAUUACAAAAAUUGUGCCAUACAGAGUGUUUUGGUGAUAUUAACUUAAAUUACUGAAACUGUGAGUGUGACAUGUUCAUAUGUAAUGGUCAUCAGUCUGCAACUGAAAUGUUCACCAGUGGAUAAACGGAAAGUGUAUUGACUUCUCUACAGUCUGAUGUGGAAAUGUGUGAACAGUAUUCUAAAAUGCUUAAAAAAAUGAUACAUAGCCUUUGUAGCAAUCUAGACAGUAUUACUAAUGACAACAGUCAUGAACAUGUUAGGCCAAUGAUGCAAGUGCAUCGCAGACAAAGUGAAAACACUUGUCUUCCAGCAGAAAACAGUGAGAGCAUGAUGCAAAGCCUUCUAGUGCAUCGCAAACUGCAAGAAAAUGUGUCAUUCAGCAGUUAACGGUCGUGGAAUUGAGACAGAAAUGAGUGUAGGGAAACAUGAAGUACAUACUAAACAGAGUAGGCCUCCAUACAGUCAUGGUUAAAAAUGCAAUGUUCAGUACAAAUACAGAACUACCUCCAGGAACAGCAAACUUUAGAAACAAACAUGUGCAGAUAAACACAAAUUUCGAUUUCCAGAUUUAAAAUAAUGAUAUUCUCUAAUAGCCAUGGAUGUGGCCUUGCUGGAAUCUUACGUUUUGAUUUUCAUGUAAAUUCAUAGUAAAACCUGUGGCACCUUUGGAUGAGAUCAAAAGAAACAUAAACGCUGAAAAUCUCUCCAGUUUGUUAAAAUGUACAAUAAUUACUGGGGGCACUAAUCAUGUAUAUAAAAAUGAAUUAUUCAAAGAAAUAAAUGCUGGACUCUAUUAGGAGAACACCUGUAAUGGUCAUAGGGAUUCCUCAUAGACACGAUGUUACAACCACUUCUAUUGUGAAUGAUAAAAUCAUCAAGGCCAGAAGAUUUGCAAAGCAUUCCACAACCCACAUUUCUUAUCUGUAGAGUUCCUUGAGAGAAAGCACGUUACACAACAUCAUCUAGAUCUAAAUAUUAAGGAUAAGACACUACUAUGAUUAAUAGCUUCUUUAUAUAUAUGGUCAAAGCCAUAUAGAUAUGUCAGAGUAAAAUUCAAAGAUGUUUCAUCAUGCGUAAACUUAUGUGAGUUGUUCUUUCACAGUGGUGUAGUUCAUUUGUCAUAUCAGAAUUUCUCCCCUUUCCUCUGUAUAUCUUCACAAGUAUAACAAAACUGUUGUAUCCACACCUAAAGUACUUCACAUUUUCUUAAAUUGUUUGUUCAUUUCAAGAUUCACAUAUAAUGAGCUUAACAAUCAGUAGUAACAUAAGUAUUUGUAUGACUGUAUGAUAAUAUAGUCAGUUGUGUUUCUAGGUGAUGUACUAGCAAGUGUACAAAGAAAAAUCAUAUAGGUACUUGUUUUGACUCUCUAAUGUGUAUGACUUCACAUUCCUCCUCCACUCAGUGUAAAUACAUCUCUUAUAAAUUGCAAACCAAUAAGGUAGUAUUGUAUUUCCAUAGUGUAUCAUUGGUAUAGCAGUUUCAAAGUACAUAAUAUUUAUAACAUGAGUAAUAACUGUGAUCACAGUCAAAAUAUUCAUGUAAUGUGUUUCAUGAUUUCAUAUGAGCAUAUAAAUUUCUGUGU